AUAGGAGUGAAAGGCCUAUCAAACCUGGAGAUAUCUCGUUCUCUCCGAAAUAGCUUUAGGGCUAGCCUCGGAUGUUUACCAAUGGGGGUAGAGCACUGAAUAGUUGCGGGGGCUUCACCGCCUACCAAGAUUAAUCAAACUCCGAAUACCAUUGGUCUAGAAUCCGGGAGUCAGAAUAUGUGGGCUAAGCUGUGUAUUCGAAAGGGAAACAGCCCAGACCGCCCGCUAAGGUCCCAAAAUCAAUGCUAAGUGGCAAAGGAUGUGCGUUUGCUCAGACAACCAGGAUGUUGGCUUAGAAGCAGCCAUUCAUUUAAAGAGUGCGUAAUAGCUCACUGGUCGAGUGGACAUGCGCCGACAAUAUACGGGGCUAAGCAUUGUACCGAAGCGGCGGAUCAGUACUUUGUACUGGUGGUAGGAGAGCUUUCUGUACGGGUUGAAGCAGUUGGAUAACCAACUGUGGACUGUCCAGAAGUGAGAAUGCUGGCAUGAGUAACGAGAGACAUGUAAAAAAC
This 512-nucleotide ribosomal RNA is filed under the name Nanosynbacter sp. RNAcentral describes it as "Candidatus Nanosynbacter sp. partial 23S ribosomal RNA". It matches the Rfam family "Bacterial large subunit ribosomal RNA", at positions 815 to 1329 of the family's 2925-position model. The record is from RNAcentral. Lineage: Bacteria; Bacillati; Minisyncoccota; Nanosynbacteria; Nanosynbacterales; Nanosynbacteraceae.